RNAcentral lists this ribosomal RNA (324 nucleotides) under uncultured bacterium. Its description in RNAcentral is "bacterial SSU rRNA". It matches the Rfam family "Bacterial small subunit ribosomal RNA", at positions 28 to 334 of the family's 1533-position model. The record is from RNAcentral.
GAUGAACGAUGGCGGCGUGCUUAACACAUGCAAGUCGAACGAAGCACUUUGGCGGAACUCUUCGGAGGGAAGUUUUUGUGACUGAGUGGCGGACGGGUGAGUAACGCGUGGGUAACCUGCCUUACACAGGGGGAUAACAGUUAGAAAUGACUGCUAAUACCGCAUGACCCGCUAGUACCGCAUGGUACAGACGGAAAAGAUUUAUCGGUGUAAGAUGGACCCGCGUCUGGUUAGCUAGUUGGUGAGGUAACGGCCCACCAAGGCGACGAUCAGUAGCCGGCUUGAGAGAGUGGACGGCCACAUUGGAACUGAGACACGGUCCAA